GUAGGGAAUCUUGCGCAAUGGGCGAAAGCCUGACGCAGCCAUGCCGCGUGAAUGAUGAAGGUCUUAGGAUUGUAAAAUUCUUUCACCGGGGACGAUAAUGACGGUACCCGGAGAAGAAGCCCCGGCUAACUUCGUGCCAGCAGCCGCGGUAAUACGAAGGGGGCUAGCGUUGCUCGGAAUUACUGGGCGUAAAGGGAGCGUAGGCGGAUAGUUUAGUCAGAGGUGAAAGUCCAGGGCUCAACCUUGGAAUUGCCUUUGAUACUGGCUAUCUUGAGGAUGGAAGAGGUAUGUGGAACUCCGAGUGUAGAGGUGAAAUUCGUAGAUAUUCGGAAGAACACCAGUGGCGAAGGCGACAUACUGGUCCAUUACUGACGCUGAGGCUCGAAAGCGUGGGGAGCAAACAGGAUUAGAAACCCGGGUAGUCC
Molecule: ribosomal RNA, 425 nt
Filed under: uncultured bacterium
Lineage: Bacteria
Description: partial 16S ribosomal RNA
Rfam family: Bacterial small subunit ribosomal RNA
Source: RNAcentral